UGGUCAAGUUAUUAAGGGUGCAGGGCGGAUGCCUUGGCACUAGGAGCCGAUGAAGGACGUGAUAAGCUGCGAUAAGCUUCGGGGAGUUGCACGUAAACUUUGAUCCGAAGAUUUCCGAAUGAGGAAACUCACUUAGAGUAAUGUCUAAGUAUCAUUAAGUGAAUACAUAGCUUAAUGAGGGGAACUCAGGGAACUGAAACAUCUAAGUACCUGAAGGAAGAG
RNAcentral lists this ribosomal RNA (222 nucleotides) under Clostridioides difficile. RNAcentral describes it as "partial 23S ribosomal RNA". It matches the Rfam family "Bacterial large subunit ribosomal RNA", at positions 1 to 221 of the family's 2925-position model. Lineage: Bacteria; Bacillati; Bacillota; Clostridia; Peptostreptococcales; Peptostreptococcaceae. The record is from RNAcentral.